GUCGAGCGGUAGCACAGAGAGCUUGCUCUCGGGUGACGAGCGGCGGACGGGUGAGUAAUGUCUGGGAAACUGCCUGAUGGAGGGGGAUAACUACUGGAAACGGUAGCUAAUACCGCAUAACGUCGCAAGACCAAAGAGGGGGACCUUCGGGCCUCUUGCCAUCAGAUGUGCCCAGAUGGGAUUAGCUAGUAGGUGGGGUAACGGCUCACCUAGGCGACGAUCCCUAGCUGGUCUGAGAGGAUGACCAGCCACACUGGAACUGAGACACGGUCCAGACUCCUACGGGAGGCAGCAGUGGGGAAUAUUGCACAAUGGGCGCAAGCCUGAUGCAGCCAUGCCGCGUGUAUGAAGAAGGCCUUCGGGUUGUAAAGUACUUUCAGCGGGGAGGAAGGUGGUGAGGUUAAUAACCUCAGCAAUUGACGUUACCCGCAGAAGAAGCACCGGCUAACUCCGUGCCAGCAGCCGCGGUAAUACGGAGGGUGCAAGCGUUAAUCGGAAUUACUGGGCGUAAAGCGCACGCAGGCGGUCUGUCAAGUCGGAUGUGAAAUCCCCGGGCUCAACCUGGGAACUGCAUUCGAAACUGGCAGGCUAGAGUCUUGUAGAGGGGGGUAGAAUUCCAGGUGUAGCGGUGAAAUGCGUAGAGAUCUGGAGGAAUACCGGUGGCGAAGGCGGCCCCCUGGACAAAGACUGACGCUCAGGUGCGAAAGCGUGGGGAGCAAACAGGAUUAGAUACCCUGGUAGUCCACGCCGUAAACGAUGUCGACUUGGAGGUUGUGCCCUUGAGGCGUGGCUUCCGGAGCUAACGCGUUAAGUCGACCGCCUGGGGAGUACGGCCGCAAGGUUAAAACUCAAAUGAAUUGACGGGGGCCCGCACAAGCGGUGGAGCAUGUGGUUUAAUUCGAUGCAACGCGAAGAACCUUACCUACUCUUGACAUCCAGAGAACUUUCCAGAGAUGGAUUGGUGCCUUCGGGAACUCUGAGACAGGUGCUGCAUGGCUGUCGUCAGCUCGUGUUGUGAAAUGUUGGGUUAAGUCCCGCAACGAGCGCAACCCUUAUCCUUUGUUGCCAGCGGUUAGGCCGGGAACUCAAAGGAGACUGCCAGUGAUAAACUGGAGGAAGGUGGGGAUGACGUCAAGUCAUCAUGGCCCUUACGAGUAGGGCUACACACGUGCUACAAUGGCGCAUACAAAGAGAAGCGACCUCGCGAGAGCAAGCGGACCUCAUAAAGUGCGUCGUAGUCCGGAUUGGAGUCUGCAACUCGACUCCAUGAAGUCGGAAUCGCUAGUAAUCGUAGAUCAGAAUGCUACGGUGAAUACGUUCCCGGGCCUUGUACACACCGCCCGUCACACCAUGGGAGUGGGUUGCAAAAGAAGUAGGUAGCUUAACCUUCGGGAGG
RNAcentral lists this ribosomal RNA (1396 nucleotides) under Enterobacter sp. RNAcentral describes it as "bacterial SSU rRNA". It matches the Rfam family "Bacterial small subunit ribosomal RNA". The record is from RNAcentral. Lineage: Bacteria; Pseudomonadati; Pseudomonadota; Gammaproteobacteria; Enterobacterales; Enterobacteriaceae.